RNAcentral lists this long non-coding RNA (367 nucleotides) under Cyanistes caeruleus (blue tit). RNAcentral describes it as "lncRNA (ENSCCEG00000020823.1)". Lineage: Eukaryota; Metazoa; Chordata; Aves; Passeriformes; Paridae. The record is from RNAcentral.
CCUAGGUGCAAUGCCAUGUUCUCAUAGUGAAGUUUAUGAUAGUGAAUUUUUAUCUUUCAGGAUCCAGGUUUCAAAAAACCCCAAAAGUGGUCUUUCAAGAGUAUGAGAAGAUGUGUGUGGAGCUGGGAAAUUAGAUGCAGACUGACCUUUUGCUCCAAAAUUUAAAAUCAAAAUGCAGCUCCUCUCUGUGGACACGGAUGGAUCCAGAAUGGAAGAUAAGGUAUCCUGCAGGUUGGGUGGAGGAACCACAAAGCUCAGAAGUGGCUGGCAUCACUUGAUCUCUCACAUAACCGGAAGGGCAGACUAUCUGAAGGAAGAUCUUUGUGCAAUCUGCUCCUCAGAACAGAUAACAGGUAUUUUCUACAAU